UUAAUACUCUCUCCGUCCAACAAAAAAUGUCUCAAGUUUGUUAAAAUCUGAAUGUAUUUAAACAUGACUUAGUGUAUAGAGACAUUCAGAUUUAGUUAAAGUUAAGACAUUCUUUGUUGGACUGAGAAAGUAUCAU
This is a non-coding RNA of Brachypodium distachyon (stiff brome), 136 nucleotides long. The record is from Rfam. Lineage: Eukaryota; Viridiplantae; Streptophyta; Magnoliopsida; Poales; Poaceae.